RNAcentral lists this non-coding RNA (93 nucleotides) under Microvirga lotononidis. RNAcentral describes it as "Glycine sequence". It matches the Rfam family "Glycine riboswitch aptamer". From Rfam's summary of the family: This family represents the bacterial glycine riboswitch. Glycine riboswitches usually consist of two metabolite-binding aptamers domains with similar structures in tandem. Lineage: Bacteria; Pseudomonadati; Pseudomonadota; Alphaproteobacteria; Hyphomicrobiales; Methylobacteriaceae. The record is from RNAcentral.
AUGAUCCCCGCGGAAGAGACCGGACCUCUGAGGUCCGGCGCCGAAGGCGCAACCGCCCCGGAAACGCUCAGGCCAAAGGACCGCGCGGGAGCU